This 421-nucleotide ribosomal RNA is filed under the name uncultured bacterium. RNAcentral describes it as "bacterial SSU rRNA". It matches the Rfam family "Bacterial small subunit ribosomal RNA", at positions 356 to 773 of the family's 1533-position model. The record is from RNAcentral.
GAGGAAUAUUGGUCAAUGGGCGAGAGCCUGAACCAGCCAUGCCGCGUGAAGGACGAAGGCCCUACGGGUCGUAAACUUCUUUUCCAGGGGGCGAAACGGCGUUCGAGAAACGCACUUGACGGUACUCUGGGAAUAAGCAUCGGCUAACUCCGUGCCAGCAGCCGCGGUAAUACGGAGGAUGCGAGCGUUAUCCGGAUUUAUUGGGUUUAAAGGGUUCGUAGGCGGCCUUUUAAGUCAGCGGUGAAAUACCGGGGCUCAACCCCGGGGCUGCCGUUGAUACUGAAGGGCUCGAGUGGGUUCGACGCCGGCGGAAUGAGGCAAGUAGCGGUGAAAUGCAUAGAUAUGCCUCAGAACACCGAUAGCGAAGGCAGCUGGCGAGGAUGACCACUGUCGCUGAGGAACGAAAGCGUGGGGAUCAAAC